UCUUAGCAGAAAGCAAUACUUCUUUGUGUACUUUGAACAUGGGGUCGAUUCCAUCUCACUUCUGUCAGUUCUCCGUCUGGCUAAAUCAUUCCUAGGGGGAAGGGGGCUAACAGGAUUUUUUCAAUAACACUAAGAAAAUCAGUCAGUUUACC
This is a long non-coding RNA of Oxyura jamaicensis (ruddy duck), 152 nucleotides long. RefSeq lists it as uncharacterized. The transcript has 3 exons. Lineage: Eukaryota; Metazoa; Chordata; Aves; Anseriformes; Anatidae. The record is from RefSeq and is a predicted model, not a curated record.